CUUCUCUCCCUUCUCUCUCCAAACCCAAACGUUUUCUUCCCCACCGUCCCUCCCUUCUCUCUCUUAACUUUCACAGACGUUCUGUCUCCCUCUCCCUCUCUUUCUUCUUUAUACUUUCCCUUCUUUCUCUUCUCUUUCUUCUUCUCCGCUAUUCUCUCUUCAUUCUUCCUCCGUUUUCCUUUUCUCUCUCUAACACACGUUCUCUCUCUGUUUUUGGUUUUGGUAUUUCUCAGUUUUUCUUCUUUUUGGCUUUGCUGCAAAAUUGAAAGUGGGUCAUUUUUUAUGUUUAUUUGGGGGCUUUCGGGGGUGCAAGAUGCGAAGAAGGCAAAGCUAUAUUCAAGGAUUGGAAAGGAAGUCGUUUCUGCAGAAAGCCAAAGAGCUUUGUGUGCCAAAGGAAAUUCUUGACCGCAAUAUUAAGAAAGGUUCUGAGAAGGGAUAAGAUGCGUACAUUGAGAAAAUCUAAGAGACAGUUGUGGCGGAUAGAAAAGCAAAUUGGUAAACUGCAUGAGAAACCGUUUCCUACUGUCACUGAAAUUCCCUCACUCACAGAAGCCUAAUCCGAGUCUCCAGCAUCAAACCCAGAAACAGAGCGCUGAACCCAUUUCCAUUGGCUUCUCUGGCGUGGUUGAGCACCAAAGCCACCGGUCAGUACUCGGGCCUAGGGCCCACGAUGCCAGAGGUGAAGCCGACGAUGGUGGUGGUGGGUUCCGGGUGGGCCGCUUGCAGGUUCAUGAAGGGCCUCGACACCAAGCUCUACGACCUGGUGUGGCGUCUCCUCGGAACCACAUGGUGUUCACGCCCCUCCUGGCCUCCACCUGCGUGGGCCACAUGUGAUUUGUAGGAUUGUCAAUUAAGGAUGUUAAAAGCUCAGAAGCUAAUUCUUAAUGAUGGCACUGAGGUUCUAUAUGGGCUGUUAGUGUGAUCUAUGGGUGUUGGCCCCUCUCCUCUUGUUAACUCUCUGGAACUUCUAAAAUCUCCAUGUGGAAGUUUUCAAGGUUGCAGAGCGGCAAGGAAAAUAUAUAUCUUAUCUAUUAAAUAGGAUUGGUAAAGCUGGUGGAGGUCAUGCCAAUGGUGCAAAUGGCAUGGAACUGGGAGAUAUAUAUCCAUUUGUUUACAAGCAUCUAGGAGCAUGACAAGCAUUGGCAGAUACAAGGCUCUAGUAGAUAUCUUUGGCAGAGCAAGCUAGGAUUUGUUGGUUGGUGUAUUUGGCACUCAGCAUAUCUGACUGACUUGUGUUAUAAGCUGGAGGAUAGCUGAAAAGUGAUUUUAUCAUCAAAGAUUUUCGCCAAGGAUAUGCGCAUGUGAAAGACUAUAUCCACUUUACUUUUGAUUGAGGUGCUCAGGAAAGAUAGAGUUUGCCUCCCCAAGGAAAUCCUUCUGCAUCUAUAUUGUUUGUUAGGAGUGCUUGUGGGAACCUUUUUAGUCUGCACACUUGAUCUACUACUGCCACCAUCACCACUCCCCCUGGCCCCCAAAUUGCCUCAGCCGAAAACAAGAAAGGAAACUUUUCAGUUGCUCCUAUUUUGACAACAUUGCUCCAAAGGGAAAAUUUAUUGGAUUUAGGCGGAAACUGACCAUCCUCAGACCAAACUUAAACCAGCAAUCAACCUUGUAGGGCCUGUUGAUAAGAUAUUCUUGAUAUCUAUUGAGGGAUUUGAACCAUUCAAUGAACCAUCCUUGGAGGAUUGCUUCACAUCAAGAGUAAGUGAUCUCCGAUUGUUUUCUUAAUGCUUGCCUUGAUUCCACUGCUACCUUGUUGCUGCUGCUCUUACUAGCUGAUGCUUGCUAAGCAAGUCCAGUUUCCGUUUAACAGAGUUAUGAUGCAACAACACACUUUAAGAACUAUCACGGAUCAUGGAUGUACUCAACAUGUAUAUACACCAUGAUAACUGGAAAGGUUCGUUAAUUACCUCAGUGUGGAUUUAAGUGCUGUCAAUUCUGCAGAAGAAUGAGGAGUGAGGAAACCCACUUUUGGUGCUUAAGCUGAUAAUUCUGCGGUUGUUCCAAGUUCCUAUAGUCGUAUAGAUAUGCCACAAUUAUUUCGAUCAUGACAAUUUGAUUCCCGUGCUACAUCAUCUUGAUACUUAUCUUUUUUCUUAUAUAUUGUAAAUUAAUAAAUUAAAUUAUGUCAAUCGAUGAUAAGAUGUGAAAUUACAUUUCUAAUAAACAACAAGAGUCCUAUUUCAUUGUAGGGAAGCUUUUACGUUUAUUAUAUAAUGUGGUAAACAUGUUUUCUUCU
Molecule: long non-coding RNA, 2239 nt
Organism: Alnus glutinosa
Lineage: Eukaryota; Viridiplantae; Streptophyta; Magnoliopsida; Fagales; Betulaceae
Exons: 11
Source: RefSeq, a predicted model, not a curated record